AAUGGGGGCAACCCUGAUCUAGCCAUGCCGCGUGAGUGAUGAAGGCCUUAGGGUCGUAAAGCUCUUUCGCCUGUGAUGAUAAUGACAGUAGCAGGUAAAGAAACCCCGGCUAACUCCGUGCCAGCAGCCGCGGUAAUACGGAGGGGGUUAGCGUUGUUCGGAAUUACUGGGCGUAAAGCGCGCGUAGGCGGAUUAGAAAGUUGGGGGUGAAAUCCCGGGGCUCAACCCCGGAACUGCCUCCAAAACUGCUAGUCUAGAGUUCGAGAGAGGUGAGUGGAAUUCCGAGUGUAGAGGUGAGAUUCGUAGAUAUUCGGAGGAACACCAGUGGCGAAGGCGGCUCACUGGCUCGAUACUGACGCUGAGGUGCGAAAGUGUGGGGAGCAAACAGGAUU
Molecule: ribosomal RNA, 392 nt
Filed under: uncultured Gammaproteobacteria bacterium
Lineage: Bacteria; Pseudomonadati; Pseudomonadota; Gammaproteobacteria
Description: bacterial SSU rRNA
Rfam family: Bacterial small subunit ribosomal RNA
Source: RNAcentral